This 74-nucleotide transfer RNA is filed under the name Thermogemmatispora argillosa. RNAcentral's name for it is "tRNA-Arg". It matches the Rfam family "tRNA". Rfam says of the family: Transfer RNA (tRNA) molecules are approximately 80 nucleotides in length. Their secondary structure includes four short double-helical elements and three loops (D, anti-codon, and T loops). Lineage: Bacteria; Bacillati; Chloroflexota; Ktedonobacteria; Thermogemmatisporales; Thermogemmatisporaceae. The record is from RNAcentral.
GGGGCCGUAGCUCAGUGGAUAGAGCAGCGACCUCCUAAGUCGCGUGUCGGAGGUUCGAUUCCUCUCGGCCCCGC